This 253-nucleotide ribosomal RNA is filed under the name uncultured bacterium. RNAcentral's name for it is "partial 16S ribosomal RNA". It matches the Rfam family "Bacterial small subunit ribosomal RNA", at positions 524 to 776 of the family's 1533-position model. The record is from RNAcentral.
AACGUAGGAGGCGAGCGUUAUCCGGAUUUACUGGGUGUAAAGCGCGUGCAGGCGGUCUAUUAAGUUGGAUGUGAAAGCUCCUGGCUCAACUAGGAGAGGUCGUACAAGACUGGUAGACUGGAGAGCAGUAGGGGAAGGUGGAAUUCCGGGUGUAGUGGUGAAAUGCGUAGAUAUUCGGAGGAACACCAGUGGCGAAAGCGGCCUUCUGGACUGCAUCUGACGCUCAGACGCGAAAGCUAGGGGAGCAAACGGG